Molecule: ribosomal RNA, 464 nt
Filed under: uncultured bacterium
Lineage: Bacteria
Description: partial 16S ribosomal RNA
Rfam family: Bacterial small subunit ribosomal RNA
Source: RNAcentral
GACGAACGCUGGCGGCGUGCUUAACACAUGCAAGUCGAACGGAAAGGCCCUGCUUGCAGGGUACUCGAGUGGCGAACGGGUGAGUAACACGUGGGUGAUCUGCCCUGCACUUCGGGAUAAGCCUGGGAAACUGGGUCUAAUACCGGAUAGGAGCCAUUUUUAGUGUGAUGGUUGGAAAGUUUUUUCGGUGUAGGAUGAGCUCGCGGCCUAUCAGCUUGUUGGUGGGGUAAUGGCCUACCAAGGCGGCGACGGGUAGCCGGCCUGAGAGGGUGGACGGCCACAUUGGGACUGAGAUACGGCCCAGACUCCUACGGGAGGCAGCAGUGGGGAAUAUUGCACAAUGGGCGCAAGCCUGAUGCAGCGACGCCGCGUGGGGGAUGACGGCCUUCGGGUUGUAAACUCCUUUCGCUAGGGACGAAGCUUUUUGGGACGGGACCGAGAGAAGAAGCACCGGCGAACUACGG